This 255-nucleotide ribosomal RNA is filed under the name uncultured bacterium. RNAcentral describes it as "partial 16S ribosomal RNA". It matches the Rfam family "Bacterial small subunit ribosomal RNA", at positions 524 to 776 of the family's 1533-position model. The record is from RNAcentral.
UACGGGGGGGGGCAAGCGUUGUUCGGAAUUACUGGGCGUAAAGGGCCAGUAGGCGGCCAACUAAGUCGGGUGUGAAAUCCCCAGGCUCAACCUGGGAACUGCAUCCGAUACUGGAUGGCUUGAAUUCGGGAGAGGGAUGCAGAAUUCCAGGUGUAGCGGUGAAAUGCGUAGAUAUCGGGAGGAACACCAGUGGCGAAGGCGACUACCUGGCCUGUUUCUUGACGCUGAGGCGCGAAAGCUAGGGGAGCAAACGGG